Molecule: non-coding RNA, 1435 nt
Organism: Oryctolagus cuniculus (rabbit)
Lineage: Eukaryota; Metazoa; Chordata; Mammalia; Lagomorpha; Leporidae
Source: RefSeq, a predicted model, not a curated record
UUUCACUUUUAUGGAAAGGGGAAUAACUGCUGUACAAUGAAAAGGAAAUUCCCUCAUCAAUAAAACUUAAAAAUAUUCAGAAAUCAUUUACUGGAAUAUAGUAUGUUCUUAUGUGUUUGAUUAUAGAUGACACAAAUACACUAUCUAUAUUCUGUUUUGGUUAAAAUUUCUGCAUGUGUGACUUCAUUUUUUCCUUAUAACCCCAAUUCUUUUAGUAUCAUAAGAUGGAAAAUGAGUUCUAUAUAGGCCCCAAUAUAGGUUAUUAUUGGCAAGGACUUGUUUAGUUUUCCUGCUCUAAAUAUUCAAAUGUUAUAACUUUAGAAAGAAAUAUAUUUAUUUACUAUACUAAUGCCUUUCUAAAAAUUUUGUAAAUCUCUAUCUUCCUUUGUAUAUACUGAUAAUACUUCUGUUACGCUGCUGGAAUUUACAGUUGUGUGUAAUGCUGAAGAACUGAAACUGUCUUGUUCACAGCUUACAGGACUGAGCAUGGCAACUUUACUGGAAGCAAGUGACCAUAGGAUUACCAUUUAAGGCAGUAUUAGCCUCCAUCUUUGAAGCCUGACACCAUUUUACUGAUGCUGGAAGAAGAAAUGGGAAAUUUCUAACAGAAGUCUGUAUUUAAUGUCAUUAGCUUUGGUAGAACACUACUAAAUAUAUAAUUAAUAUUUUAAGUUAUAACAAUUGUAAAACAUAAAAAUAAAAAUACUAUACCCUUAGGUUAAAUGAAUUGGGAUAAAUAAGUGCAUUUCCUCUAGCUACCUGCCCUAUACCUGUAGAGAUUAGCAUUAGGACAUUUAAGAAGCCAUAUUGUGCUGGAGCAGAGAGAAGAGGAAAGAAACAAACAGAAGUCAGGAGGUAUUAAUAGUUUUGGAUGUUGGGAGGAACAGCUAAACAGAAUUCUAUAAUUAAUUUAGAAUGUUUGAUCCAAAUUUGUGAGGGCUGUGGUGAGUGCUUGGAUUUAAGGAGCAUAAACUCUUAUUCCUUUCAACAACCUUAUUCAACAACAUGAUUGCUGAUUCUUCAUUCUAACAGAAGAUUUAGAGAUUUGUUCUCAGGAGAGAUAGACAAAGAAAGUCCUCAUAGAGGACUGCACUAUCAAAGAUGAGACACUAUUUUCAACACAUUUAUCUCCAGAGAAUUGGUUUAAAUAGAUGAUGUGACCUAUACUGACUGAUGUUUGGACAUCCUCCAACAACGGAUCUCAGGUUCUACAUAGUCCCCUACAGUGGGUUAGCCAUAUGACAACCCUACAUAGAAUUUAUAAACAGGUUUGUGUGUGUGUGUGUGUGUUCACUUUUAACUGUUUACAGAAUCCCUUUCUGCUUGGAAAAUAACCUAUUAAAGUGAAAUUUGGGCAUUAACCUUAUUUACUAUGUCUAGUCAACUCUGCACCUCAUUGAAAAGUGCUCUGGAGAUCCAGAGGUGUUCUUUUUUA